GCUGGGUGCAUGGCGCGUACCUGUAGUCCCAGCUACUCAGGAGGCUGAGGUGGGAGGAUCACUUGAGCCCAGGAGUUCUGGGCUGUAGUGUGUUAUGCCAAUCGGGUGUCCGCACUACGUUCGACAUCAAUAUGAUGACCUCCUGGGAGCAGGGGACCACCAGGUUGCCUAAGGAGGGGUGAACCGGCCCAGGUGGGAAAUGGAGCAGGUCAAAACUCCCAUGCUGAUCAGUAGUGGGAUUGCGCCUAUGAAUAGCCACUGUACUCCAGCCUGGGCAACAUAGUGAGAACUCGUCUCU
This 298-nucleotide signal recognition particle RNA is filed under the name Aotus nancymaae (Ma's night monkey). Its description in RNAcentral is "Metazoan signal recognition particle RNA (ENSANAG00000007470.1)". It matches the Rfam family "Metazoan signal recognition particle RNA". From Rfam's summary of the family: The signal recognition particle (SRP) is a universally conserved ribonucleoprotein. It is involved in the co-translational targeting of proteins to membranes. The eukaryotic SRP consists of a 300-nucleotide 7S RNA and six proteins: SRPs 72, 68, 54, 19, 14, and 9. The record is from RNAcentral. Lineage: Eukaryota; Metazoa; Chordata; Mammalia; Primates; Aotidae.